GUGGGGAAUAUUGGACAAUGGAGGCAACUCUGAUCCAGCAAUUCUGUGUGUGUGAAGAAGGUUUUAGGACUGUAAAACACUUUUAGUAGGGAAGAAAGAAAUGACGGUACCUACAGAAGAAGCGACGGCUAAAUACGUGCCAGCAGCCGCGGUAAUACGUAUGUCGCGAGCGUUAUCCGGAAUUAUUGGGCUUAAAGGGCAUCUAGGCGGUUAAACAAGUUGAAGGUGAAAACCUGUGGCUCAACCAUAGGCUUGCCUACAAAACUGUAUAACUAGAGUACUGGAAAGGUGGGUGGAACUACACGAGUAGAGGUGAAAUUCGUAGAUAUGUGUAGGAAUGCCGAUGAUGAAGAUAACUCACUGGACAGCAACUGACGCUGAAGUGCGAAAGCUAGGGGAGCAAACAGGAUUAGAAACCCUAGUAGUCC
This 428-nucleotide ribosomal RNA is filed under the name uncultured bacterium. RNAcentral's name for it is "bacterial SSU rRNA". It matches the Rfam family "Bacterial small subunit ribosomal RNA", at positions 354 to 796 of the family's 1533-position model. The record is from RNAcentral.